RNAcentral lists this long non-coding RNA (762 nucleotides) under Homo sapiens (human). Its description in RNAcentral is "non-protein coding lnc-CD44-7:9". Lineage: Eukaryota; Metazoa; Chordata; Mammalia; Primates; Hominidae. The record is from RNAcentral.
AUUCUUGUUUUUUUCUGCUGAGGCUCUAGAGGGACACCUGUCAGACUGACCAAGGCCGAAGAUGGCUCCCUACCAGAGAGAUUCAACUGAGGGCUUGCGAUAGGUCUUGUGACAUUGCUAUUGAUCUUGAGACAUUCAUCUGAAGCAUGAUUGUCACUGGCUUCAAACUUUCCUCAUCAUAAGAGAGGGACUGGGUCUACUUCAAAUGUUUCGCACUAAUGAAGUUAACAUUCCCUUUCAUGGUGAGCUCUGCCCUCAUCAUGAGACCAUGCCCAGGCUAGUCUGCUGGAAGGAAGUCAGAGGCACACGGAAGAGAGCCACAUUCAGCCAAGGCCAUUCUAGACCAGUUGUUCCCUGUCACUUCACUAAUUGGCCACAGCACAAGGUUUUGUUGAAGAUUGAAUGAGUGUGUAAAGUGCCCAACAGAAAGUCUGGCACAUGGUACACGGAUGGAGCUGGAAGCCAUUAUCCUCAGCAAACUAAUGUAGGAACAGAAAACCAAAUAUUGCAUGUUCUUACUUAUAAGUGGGAGCUGAACAACGAGAACACAUGGACACAGGGAGGGAAACAACACACACUGGGGCCUGUCCAGCAGUAAGGUUGAGGCAGGGAAAGCAUUAGGAAAAAUAGCUAUGCAUGCUGGGCUGAAUACUGGGUGAUGGAUUGAUAGGUGCAGCAAACCACCAUGGCAUAUGUUUACCUUUGUAAGAAACCAGCACAUCCUGCACAUGUACCCUGGAACUUAAAAUAAAAAUUAAAAUG